CCUCAUCUGAAAAUGCAUGCAUUUCAUAGCUAAUAUUUCCCACUUCCGUAUUUUAAAAAAUUAAGAGAAAUCUACUUCUCCCCUGCCUAUCUUUUAGAGAGCUGUCUCUCUGAGGGUCCGGAGUCUAUUCUGUCUAAGUGUGUUAAUUUGGUCAAAUAAUGGAGUGAGAAGCACUACGUGCUUAGUCCCACAUGCAUGGGCAUCACAUAGUGUUCUGCCAUGGUAUAAGAUUGGUUUAUUUUAUGGGUUCAGUGAGUAAAUGCUUUUCUGACACACAAUCAAUUUUCUACAUACAUGUUUCCAUAUGUGAUUUUUAGAUUUUCCCCAUCUUGCUUAGUCUAGCACCAAGGGAUGUAUACACUCACACUACACUGGCAUGUGCUAGCAAAUGACAAAUAAGAAAUGACUGACUGUCCCCUGGGCUGUCCUACACCAAGCUUGAGCCACAAUUGGCACAUGUGAGACGCAGGAAGUGAUGUAGAGAACUGCCAUUGAAGUUCUCAUCACUUCCUGUGGAGAGGGCUAGAUGCCAGUUCGAUCCUGGAACUCGAGCUUGGAGGAGCUCCCGCAGACAGCUUUCCUUCAAUCGGUCAUCUGUGCCCUCCCUCUGAUCUUUCAAGAAUGUCAAGAGGAGGAGGAGCUUUUGGGAGGAUUUAACUCCUUGGCUCCCCACAUUGGUUAAAAUAUAAAUUGUUCUGGUUCUUCUUGCUUUUGUCUUCGUCAGUUCAUGGUAAAAGCACUCAUGGGAGCCACCCAGAUGCCAGAUGUCACCAUAACCUCUGCAACCAUCCCAGCCUGAUGCUCUGGACAAUUGCCUAAAGUCAAUACCUCUCUCUCCUAAUGGAUAGGCAGGGACGUCUCUACGCCCAUUCUCAGCUGUGAAGAAGUUACAGAAUACUAAGACCACCAUCCCUUUUCCCUUACAGAGGGGGGAGAUGACAUGGGCACUGUACCCCAGAAACCCAGGCCAACUAUUAUCAAGGAAACUCCCUUGCUUUACCUCCUCCUGACUCUGAACUGA
RNAcentral lists this long non-coding RNA (1021 nucleotides) under Monodelphis domestica (gray short-tailed opossum). RNAcentral's name for it is "lncRNA (ENSMODG00000043614.1)". The record is from RNAcentral. Lineage: Eukaryota; Metazoa; Chordata; Mammalia; Didelphimorphia; Didelphidae.